RNAcentral lists this non-coding RNA (183 nucleotides) under unclassified sequences. RNAcentral's name for it is "RT-15 RNA". It matches the Rfam family "RT-15 RNA". Rfam says of the family: Proteobacteria. Nearby to self-splicing intron genes The record is from Rfam by way of RNAcentral.
CACCGCCUGCCGCGUGAUCGUCAUGGCGACCACGCCCGUGCGGUUAUUGAAUCUGGUCGCGCCGCUGGCCACCCCGGCCACCGCCAUGCACACCACGGAUACCCCCGGCCCCGGCCGGCAUCGGUCCAGUGCAGUUUCCCGGCCGAGCAAUCGACCGGGCGACGUAGAUAGCGCGACUCAACG